RNAcentral lists this small nuclear RNA (160 nucleotides) under Rhinolophus ferrumequinum (greater horseshoe bat). Its description in RNAcentral is "U4 spliceosomal RNA (ENSRFEG00010001207.1)". The stretch from base 1 to 119 matches the Rfam family "U4 spliceosomal RNA". From Rfam's summary of the family: U4 small nuclear RNA (U4 snRNA) is a component of the major U2-dependent spliceosome. The structure of U4 snRNA from yeast and human has been reported. The record is from Rfam by way of RNAcentral. Lineage: Eukaryota; Metazoa; Chordata; Mammalia; Chiroptera; Rhinolophidae.
AGCUUUGUGCAGUGGCAGUAUCGUAGCCAAUGAGGUUUAUCCGAGGCGCGAUUAUUACUAAUUGAAAAGGAACUCUGAUUAGCUUUUCCUUACCUGUAUCCUUGAAAUGAUGUGACAUUGAAGGUUGUGCCUUAAAAGCUUUGGGAUCCUAUGAGAAAAG